AGAUAUUCUUCUAAAUCACUUUCAAUGAUUAGCAUAUACUUGCAUCUAUGCGAGUGAUGAAGUAAUUACAUUGUCAAAGGAUUGCAAGAUUCUUAGACAAGGAGCUAAACUCUAUGUAUGUACUGUACGUCUUGUCAAGUUCAAACAAUGUUGAAGGAUUCUCCAUUUCUUACCACGUUCAACGAGAACCUGAUCAGCAACUUGCUCUCGAAAUUUGGGAUGGAGGAGUUCAGGAAGGCAUAGUCAUACUCAAUACUCCGUAGACGCUAGGCUAGAAAGGCAUGUUUAAGACGAGGUAUC
This 300-nucleotide small RNA is filed under the name Histoplasma capsulatum. RNAcentral describes it as "hypothetical RNA". RNAcentral also lists the same sequence under 1 other name. Lineage: Eukaryota; Fungi; Ascomycota; Eurotiomycetes; Onygenales; Ajellomycetaceae. The record is from RNAcentral.